UUCUAUACUCAGAGUGAGUUAAUUGCACCUACGGUACACGAACUUGCACGACGGGUACAUAUUCAUACAACAACUUGAAAGAUGAUGCAAAUAGGUCACAAAACUUGAGUUUUGGGUACAUUUAGAUACAAUUCCAUCUAUUGCCAUUAACACCCCGUUAACUCUGCCUACAUGGCAUGUAAAAAGGUGGUACUGGGCAUGCACUAUCUUAGCAAACAAUCACCAUGUCAACAAGAUGCAGUAAGCCAAGAUAAUAAGCGGUCUAUCUCCCCAUUGAACAACUGCGGCCAUCCGGUUGUUUGCUUGGCUCGUGUAUGUGAAGUAGCCAGCCUUGCAUAUGCAUUGUACUCCAAUUUCGUUUAAUCUCUCACCUGCUGACAAGUGGGUCGUGCAUAGAUGGUUCAAAGGAUAAAAAAAUCUAUCUCAACGAGUACAAAGUUCGAGUAGUAGUUUCGGAUUUGUUGGCCACGACACACGUAAAUGCGAUAUGGUCAGGUCUUGUGUACGAACCUUCGGGAAGCACUAUCUUCGGGAUGAACUAUCAUGUGCGUAGUGGUUAGCACUGAACGCCUUGAGAGAAAUUGUCUCAGGUUCGAAUUUUGGUCUCCUCCAUUUUUAGAAACAAUUAAUUUCUCCUCGUAGCUCACAGGUGGGACCUACCCCAAUGAACUGACGUAGAGCGUGGGCCCACUGUCAUGUUUGACAUGCCAUGUAGGCAGAGUUAACGGGGCUUUAACAGCAAUAGACGGAAAUGUACCUACAUGUACUCGAAAUUCAAGUUAUGUGACCAGUUUGUAUCAUUUUUCAAGUUGUUGUAUGAAUCCGUACCCGCUGUGCAAGUUCAUGUAUCAUAGGUGUAAUUAACUAAGCAAACCAAUUUCAAAUUCUGCCAGCAUAUAGACAAAUAGCUGCCAUCAGGAUUCCUGAAAUUUACGAGGACAUAUUGAAUUAGUGAGGAUUUCGGAAAUUUGUAGUCCAAGCAACUCAUAUUUUGAAGUUUUGUUGCUUACCUUCCCAUCCCAUUGUGUUGCUAUGCUCCUGAAGUUGCCUAAAUUUUGCUAUAUUGGGUUACCCACAAUAGUAUCAGCAGCGAUGUUUUGUUUUGUGACAACUACUCAAAUUUAUAAUCUAAAUAUAUAAGUUGCACGCCGUGCUGUUGCUGGCAGCUUCUGACGCCAUCUGAAUCUUUUCCGGUGAGCCACCUUGUUCUCUCUUCUCUCUCCAAUUUGUACAAGAUUGAGUACCUCCGCUGCAUCUACACGACCGUCAUCUUCUAAUGCGCAUUAGGCUAUCACCAGCAAGAAUCUGAGCCGCCGCCACUGUGCAGAAGCUCCCUGCUGUAGUCAGGAUAAAUUGUGGUGAUUUUGCAUAAUCUGUCCAGGGAGCUUUUCAAGACCAAAUGCUUCCUCAAUCAAGCUGUUUGGCAACAACAAUGCCAAGGUUCAGUUCGGCAAGGAAGCCCAACAACUUUUCACAAUGACCACUAUGACAAGUAUUCUGGCUUGGUAAAACAAGAAGAUUCUGACGGUGCGGACAGAUGUUAAUAAGGAGGUUAUCUGGUCCUCUCGACUACCAGCGAGGCCAAAAAGUGUAGAUAUAUGCCUAAGUGUAUGAUAUCAUGGCAUUCACACGCUUCACUCCAUCUAAUACAUCAAACAAAGUGUGGGAGCAGUGGCGGAGCUAGACGAAAACCAUUGGGGGGCGAAACGUAAAUGACAAAGAGCUGGGGGGGGGGGAGGAUAAUUUUCACCUCAUCCUGGCCCUUCAAAAAAAAAUUCUUCAGGGUUUUCUCCAAAGUUGGGGGGGCCACGGCCCCCCUCGGCCCCAACAUAGCUCCGCCGUUGUGUAGGAGGGUGAGAAGAUUAGUCCUCAAUUAGUUUCUUCCUUGUUUUAAUUUGGCUUAACCUCUAAUGCACGUGAAUUGUGAGGUAUUUGUUGUGCGGGCAUGAUGAGGUUCUAAAGCUUUGUACCAAAUUCCAGGUUUGUGUAUUAAUGAAAUUGGUGUAAAAUUAACAGUUAUCUUCUCUGAUUUUAGAAGGGUGGAGUUCAGGUUUGUGUAGUAAUGAUAGUCAAGUUAUUCCACCUCCUCUAUCGACAAUUGGUAUUUCAUCCUUGAAGGUGUUCCUUUAGAAGGGCAGAGUUGUAGAAACACCGGAUCCCCGAUGAAGAGUCAAGUUCAGUUUGCAACUUUUCUUUCAUUUAGUGAUAUAUUGAGCCUUAGAUUUGCAUCACAGGUGAGAUAUUGAACCCUACGUAUAGUUUAGUUUAGUUUAGAUGAAUGAUGUUAAUAUUUUGAUACAUUGUUUAAGUAAGGAUUAUCAUGAAUGCUAACUGAUGAAAUCUGUGCAUCCAAGAUGGCAUAAGAUCAGACUUCACUGUAUAUAAAUGAUUGUUGUUUGCAGAGGGUGAUCAUCACGCCACUGAGGAUAGUGUCGCCGUCGGUGCCGAGGCUGAUUGUCGACCGCCCGGAUCUGGGGGCGCCGCUCAGGCCAGGCGUCCGCACCAUGAUGCUGCCAUCUUCCUACGAGUCAUUGCUAGCUGGAGUUGAUCGGUAACUGGUUGAUUUGGCCAUUAAUCGCUUACCCUGAUCUCUCCAUUUCAUAUAGGUUAGCUUGGCUAGCGUCCGUCACAUGGUUUUUGGGGUCUUCUCUGCAUAUAUUCGCAAGACAAAUAGGCCUACUAUAGCAUAGUCAAAAUUGGUAGCACUAUCUAGAAAAGUUGUAUAUUUUUGGUGAAGUUCUCAAGUUGUGCAUUGUGGUAGUGUCCCUGCUUCAUCUAUAACAACAUCUGCACCUCACUGCCAAGUUGCUGGUGAGCCUCAUCCACGCUAAAGAUGAGGGCGUCAAUUGGGCCUUUUUCUCAGUUUGUUCAAAUUGCAAGUUUGACUGAUUCCCCCUCUAAUUUAGGUUGUGAGCCCCUUCGAUUAAUUCCUUGCUAUAACUCUGUAGUGACGGUAUCGAGUUUCAAGGAUUUUGGGUCCAACUCUGUAUGAAUACUGUUUCUUUGCCGCAAUUUGGUCGAUCCAAUCUAAAAAACGAGACCAGAGAGGCAAGCACCCCUCGGCAUAUUUUUAUAGGACAUACCUAGAUUUUUAUAUUAUAAUCAGAUGGACACACUGUUUGAAGUAGUCUUGCAGUAGAUAGUGUUAAGAUGUGCUAUAUGGGAUGAUAUGAACCAAAUAGCAAAAGCAUUGUUGUUGCCUAUGCUACUAAAACAAUAUGGAUACAACAUUAGCUAAAAGGCUAUUUUUAUAUUUAUUCAUCUUCAAAUCAUUCAUUUUUCUUUAACUUUUUAUUUGCUUCCUCAUUGCGUUCUUGAUUUUCAGGUAACAUAAUUGAUAUGUUUUAGCAUUCAAGGUGUAUGUUCACACAAAACUGUUUUUACAUGUCACAAUGUUUGUGAAUGGAGCAGCAACACAUUUUUUUACAUUUUAUGGGCAUAUGCCAAGAUCUCUUAUGCUCCUAAAAAGGAUCUGAUCUUGAUAUACAUGUCCUUGGCACUUUCAGAAGUAUGUAGACCAUCUCCCGGUACAUGUAGAAAUACCAAUUUCAGAAAUAUGUAAAGGGACCUUCUCUUGGUCCAUGUAAAUAGCACUUUCAGAUAUUGUAAAUGUGCAAAUAUACUUUAAAACACCUCAAUACGAUUAUAUGUUC
This is a non-coding RNA of Triticum urartu, 3653 nucleotides long. The record is from RefSeq and is a predicted model, not a curated record. NCBI's taxonomy places the organism in Eukaryota, Viridiplantae, Streptophyta, Magnoliopsida, Poales, Poaceae.